RNAcentral lists this ribosomal RNA (1506 nucleotides) under uncultured Propionibacterium sp. RNAcentral describes it as "bacterial SSU rRNA". It matches the Rfam family "Bacterial small subunit ribosomal RNA". The record is from RNAcentral. Lineage: Bacteria; Bacillati; Actinomycetota; Actinomycetes; Propionibacteriales; Propionibacteriaceae.
AGAGUUUGAUCAUGGCUCAGGACGAACGCUGGCGGCGUGCUUAACACAUGCAAGUCGAACGGAAAGGCCCUGCUUUUGUGGGGUGCUCGAGUGGCGAACGGGUGAGUAACACGUGAGUAACCUGCCCUUGACUUUGGGAUAACUUCAGGAAACUGGGGCUAAUACCGGAUAGGAGCUCCUGCUGCAUGGUGGGGGUUGGAAAGUUUCGGCGGUUGGGGAUGGACUCGCGGCUUAUCAGCUUGUUGGUGGGGUAGUGGCUUACCAAGGCUUUGACGGGUAGCCGGCCUGAGAGGGUGACCGGCCACAUUGGGACUGAGAUACGGCCCAGACUCCUACGGGAGGCAGCAGUGGGGAAUAUUGCACAAUGGGCGGAAGCCUGAUGCAGCAACGCCGCGUGCGGGAUGACGGCCUUCGGGUUGUAAACCGCUUUCGCCUGUGACGAAGCGUGAGUGACGGUAAUGGGUAAAGAAGCACCGGCUAACUACGUGCCAGCAGCCGCGGUGAUACGUAGGGUGCGAGCGUUGUCCGGAUUUAUUGGGCGUAAAGGGCUCGUAGGUGGUUGAUCGCGUCGGAAGUGUAAUCUUGGGGCUUAACCCUGAGCGUGCUUUCGAUACGGGUUGACUUGAGGAAGGUAGGGGAGAAUGGAAUUCCUGGUGGAGCGGUGGAAUGCGCAGAUAUCAGGAGGAACACCAGUGGCGAAGGCGGUUCUCUGGGCCUUUCCUGACGCUGAGGAGCGAAAGCGUGGGGAGCGAACAGGCUUAGAUACCCUGGUAGUCCACGCUGUAAACGGUGGGUACUAGGUGUGGGGUCCAUUCCACGGGUUCCGCGCCGUAGCUAACGCUUUAAGUACCCCGCCUGGGGAGUACGGCCCGCAAGGCUAAAACUCAAAGGAAUUGACGGGGCCCCGCACAAGCGGCGGAGCAUGCGGAUUAAUUCGAUGCAACGCGUAGAACCUUACCUGGGUUUGACAUGGAUCGGGAGUGCUCAGAGAUGGGUGUGCCCUCUUUUGGGGUCGGUUCACAGGUGGUGCAUGGCUGUCGUCAGCUCGUGUCGUGAGAUGUUGGGUUAAGUCCCGCAACGAGCGCAACCCUUGUUCACUGUUGCCAGCACGUUAUGGUGGGGACUCAGUGGAGACCGCCGGGGUCAACUCGGAGGAAGGUGGGGAUGACGUCAAGUCAUCAUGCCCCUUAUGUCCAGGGCUUCACGCAUGCUACAAUGGCUGGUACAGAGAGUGGCGAGCCUGUGAGGGUGAGCGAAUCUCGGAAAGCCGGUCUCAGUUCGGAUUGGGGUCUGCAACUCGACCUCAUGAAGUUGGAGUCGCUAGUAAUCGCAGAUCAGCAACGCUGCGGUGAAUACGUUCCCGGGGCUUGUACACACCGCCCGUCAAGUCAUGAAAGUUGGUAACACCCGAAGCCGGUGGCCUAACCGUUGUGGGGGAGCCGUCGAAGGUGGGACUGGUGAUUAGGACUAAGUCGUAACAAGGUAUCCGUAAUCACUAGUGAAUUC